This is a long non-coding RNA of Hyla sarda, 618 nucleotides long. RefSeq lists it as uncharacterized. The transcript is spliced from 3 exons. The record is from RefSeq and is a predicted model, not a curated record. NCBI's taxonomy places the organism in Eukaryota, Metazoa, Chordata, Amphibia, Anura, Hylidae.
ACACAGUGAGAUUGGGUAAGGUUAGAGGGAGGAGAAGAUACUAUGAAUAUGCAAUAGGCUGCUAGGUCGGAAAGGUGGGCAAUUGGCUGGUGGGAGAAGGGAACCUCCCUCCUUCCCCAAUGUGAAGUCAAAGCUUCAGAAGGAAGCCUCUUCUAAAGAUGAUGCACAAGAAAUACAGUAAACAGUUUGCUGAAGACAAGCAGACUAAGAAUAUGGAUUACUGGAACCAUGUCCUGUGGUCCAAUGAGAUCAAGAUAAACUUAUCUGGUUCCGUGGGUGUCAAGCGUGUGUGGCAGCAACCAGGAGCCAGAAAUUUGCGAUCAGCACACGGUGAAAGUGAUAGUGGAGGCUGUUUCUGAACAAACCAAAAAAAGGAGCCAGCAGAGAGAUGGCCUAAUGUUGCCAUGUCACCCUUUCUCACACCUACAAACCAAGGUCUCCUAAUGACGGUGGUAGUAAUGAAUAGAAAAUUGCAUCUAAUUCUGGGCAGCAAAUUACCAUUUUAAGUUUUUGUGUGCUUUCCAGAAAUGUUAUUUGCAGUUUGUAGUUGACAAUUCUGAAGAUUAAAACAUUAAAGGGGUAUUCCAGGAAAAACUUUUAUAUAUAUCAACUGGCUCC